RNAcentral lists this long non-coding RNA (682 nucleotides) under Capsicum annuum. RNAcentral describes it as "long non-coding RNA (CANN_LNC019609)". The record is from RNAcentral. Lineage: Eukaryota; Viridiplantae; Streptophyta; Magnoliopsida; Solanales; Solanaceae.
CGGACUAUUUGAAAUCUACCUUUGACUAACUUUGAAAAGAGAAGUUGGUUUUUGAAAAGAAAAAUAAUUUAGGAAAAGAUUUGUGUAAAAUAAAUUGACGACUUAUUAGAAAAUUUAACUAAGUCUAAGCAAAUUAAUAACAACUAACACAUAAAAGGGGAAGGGGAAACUAGAAGACUUAGGCCAAUAGGCCCAAAUCAAUAAACCUAUACUAAGGCUAAUUUAGGCUUUCGGCCCAUCUUCACCUAUCCUAACCUAAAUAUUGGGCUUUGGCCCAUAACCUGUCCUGAACUACAGUUUCGAGCCCUUUUGGCCCAAAGUCUGUUUCACCUGUAUUAGUUUACAACUUUGGCUUCGAGACCUAAAUGAAUGAAUGAAUAAAUAAAUGCAUGAAUAAAUAACUAAAAAACAAAUAAAGCAAUAAUAAAUAAAGAAAAAAAUGAGACUUUUCGAGUCUCUUAGCUACUUCAACAAUGGGCUUGAACCUAUCUUGCCUUCUUCCAUCUUCACUCAUACGCUAGGUAGCGCCCCCUUUCAGACCAUUUUUCGGAAUCUUCGAAGGGAUGGGCCUUAAUGGCCCGUUACAAAAUGCAAGGAGGGAAAAGUCCAUUUGGACUCCCCGAUGAGUUCAUAUGCAAAGAACGAAAAAAAGAAGAUCAAUGCACAUACGAAACAUAUAUAA